UACAGAGGGGGCAAGCGUUAUUCGGAAUUAUUGGGCGUAAAGGGCGCGUAGGCGGCUUGGCAAGUGGAAGGUGAAAUCCCUCGGCUUAACCGAGGAACUGCCCUCCAAACUGCUUGGCUUGAGACCGGGAGAGGUGAGUGGAAUUCCCAGUGUAGCGGUGAAAUGCGUAGAUAUUGGGAGGAACACCAGUGGCGAAGGCGGCUCACUGGACAGUUCCUGACACUGAGACACGAAGGCCAGGGGAGCAAACGGG
RNAcentral lists this ribosomal RNA (253 nucleotides) under uncultured bacterium. Its description in RNAcentral is "partial 16S ribosomal RNA". It matches the Rfam family "Bacterial small subunit ribosomal RNA", at positions 524 to 776 of the family's 1533-position model. The record is from RNAcentral.